This 497-nucleotide ribosomal RNA is filed under the name uncultured bacterium. RNAcentral describes it as "partial 16S ribosomal RNA". It matches the Rfam family "Bacterial small subunit ribosomal RNA", at positions 28 to 507 of the family's 1533-position model. The record is from RNAcentral.
GAUGAACGCUGGCGGCGUGCCUAAUACAUGCAAGUCGAGCGAACAGACGAGGAGCUUGCUCCUCUGAUGUUAGCGGCGGACGGGUGAGUAACACGUGGAUAACCUACCUAUAAGACUGGGAUAACUUCGGGAAACCGGAGCUAAUACCGGAUAACAUGUUGAACCGCAUGGUUCAACAGUGAAAGACGGUCUUGCUGUCACUUAUAGAUGGAUCCGCGCCGCAUUAGCUAGUUGGUAAGGUAACGGCUUACCAAGGCAACGAUGCGUAGCCGACCUGAGAGGGUGAUCGGCCACACUGGAACUGAGACACGGUCCAGACUCCUACGGGAGGCAGCAGUAGGGAAUCUUCCGCAAUGGGCGAAAGCCUGACGGAGAAACGCCGCGUGAGUGAAGAAGGUCUUCGGAUCGUAAAACUCUGUUAUUAGGGAAGAACAAAUGUGUAAGUAACUAUGCACGUCUUGACGGUACCUAAUCAGAAAGCCACGGCUAACUACGUG